ACCGAGUGUGAAAGCGGCACAGCGCACAUGCUAAAAAGAUCUUCAAAUGACUGAUCGCACAGAUGGGUGGUGUCUGUCGUCAGCGCUGGCUCGCUCAACCGUCAAGGCGCGCUGGCAGGACUGCCACUGUCAACCAGUGUCUCCUGGCUCCGGUGUGAAGCGAAUCCUCGAUUCCUCCUCUGUGCAUUUCAUUCAGGAAUACAUCAUUCUUCCAGUAGAUACUGGCAGUGUUGGUUGCUGGCACACUGGAAGCAGGCUGGCAGAGAGCUUCUGUAGAUCGAUUGGCGAUGAAUUGCAAAUUCUGCCCCUUCUCUCGGCGUCGGCUGUGCCGCACGUCUGUGGCGGUAGAGAGCAGACGACAGCAGCGACUGGCCUCGAAAGACAUGGCGGACGCUGAGGCCUCGGAGAAGAUUUCUCUACACGCGAUAGACGAUGUGGAGGAAACGACUGCUGAAAACGACCUGUCGUGGAGGGAAAAACUAGCAGAACAACUCAAAAGCAACAGAGUUCAGUACACGAUAAUCGUUCUUGUUAUUCUGGACAGUGUCAUCGUCGUGUUAGAGCUACUCAUCGACAUGGGGAUCAUCGUCAUUCCUGAGGAUCAUCCGCAUGAGUUAUCAACUAACGGAAGUGCUGAAAUCGCUCCAAACCAUCAUCCACUUCACUCCUCACACACAGGCAUUCCAGAAGGUCUGCAUGUCAAUGUCUCCCACAAAAAUCUCAGCGAAUCCAGCGGAAAUGCGCACGGAACGAGCGAGGACGAGAAACAUGCGCCUAACAAGCACGUGGCAGAGCACGUGCUUCACGUUGCCAGCCUUACCAUUCUUGCCAUCUUCCUUGUCGAGGAUCUCGUCCCGUUUCUGUCAAAGAAGCGAACGAGCACUGGUAUUGCCUUGUGUCCAGCCCUGCCUGUCCGGUGUGCCACCUCAGUGUCAUGUGGAGAAGUCUGGACGCCGACGAGGCGAGGUUGUGGCAAAAAUUUUAGCAGAAGGGACACACUUGCUGAAACACAAAGCAGAGGUAUUCGAUGCUGUGGUUGUGGUGGUCUCCUUUACGAUGGACAUCACGUUCACCUUUGUCUCCGUCACCGAUGCCACGCGUGACUACGCAGGUCUUCUUGUCCUACUUCGUCUGUGGCGCGUCACCCGCAUUAUUAAUGGCGUCAUCUUGUCCGUCAAAAUGGACGCCGACAAAAAGUUGAACGCACAAAAGGUUCUGCGCGCCAAAGCAGAAGAGGAAGUGCAGAAACUGACAGAAAAAGUGGAGCAGCUACAG
RNAcentral lists this unclassified non-coding RNA (1275 nucleotides) under Pomacea canaliculata. Its description in RNAcentral is "uncharacterized LOC112553565, transcript variant X5". The record is from RNAcentral. Lineage: Eukaryota; Metazoa; Mollusca; Gastropoda; Architaenioglossa; Ampullariidae.